UACGUAGGGAGCAAGCGUUGUCCGGAAUGACUGGGCGUAAAGGGUGCGUAGGCGGUCUGUCAAGUUGGAAGUGAAAUCCCCGGGCUUAACUUGGGUGCUACUUCCAAGACUGAUGGACUUGAGUGUGGGAGAGGUAAGUGGAAUUCCUAGUGUAGCGGUGAAAUGCGUAGAUAUUAGGAGGAACACCAGUGGCGAAGGCGGCCUGCUGGACUGGUACUGACGCUGAGGCACGAAAGCGUGGGGAUCAAACAGG
RNAcentral lists this ribosomal RNA (253 nucleotides) under uncultured bacterium. RNAcentral's name for it is "partial 16S ribosomal RNA". It matches the Rfam family "Bacterial small subunit ribosomal RNA", at positions 524 to 776 of the family's 1533-position model. The record is from RNAcentral.